AACAAUAAAAUCCUAAUUCUAAUAGAAUACUAAAAAUGCUCUAAUUAAACCAUAAUAAUAUUAAGCAAGCUUUAAUAAAAUUCAAAGAAACUUCAAAGAAAUUUCAAAAAAAUAAUAAAAAAUCUUAAAGAAAUAUUAGAAUGAUCACAAAAAUCUCUUGAAUACAUCUCAAUUCAAUCUUAAUUUAAUCAUAGUUAAAAUUCUAUUAGACUUCAUUCAAACUUUAGGCCAAAACUAAUAAAAUCCUAAAUCCUAAAUCAAACCCUAAAUCUUAAAUCAAAUCCUAACCAAACUCUAACCAAAUCCUAAUCAAAUCCUAACAAAAUCCUAAAAAAAUCUUAAAUCCUAAAUCAAAUCCUAAAAAAAAUUCUAAAUCAAACUCCAACCAAACCCUAAACCCUAAAUCAAAUCCUAAAUCUUAAACCAAAUUCCAACCAAACUCUAAAUCCUAAAUCCUAAAUCAAACCUUAAUCAAAUCCUAAUCCUAGAUCAAAUCCUAAUCAAAUCCUAAAUCUUAAAUCAAACCCUAACCAAAUCCUAACUCUAAAUCAAAUUCUUACCAAAUUCUAAACUCUAAACCAAUCCCUAAUCAAAUCCUA
RNAcentral lists this long non-coding RNA (599 nucleotides) under Physcomitrium patens. Its description in RNAcentral is "long non-coding RNA (PPAT_LNC012731)". The record is from RNAcentral. Lineage: Eukaryota; Viridiplantae; Streptophyta; Bryopsida; Funariales; Funariaceae.